Molecule: ribosomal RNA, 117 nt
Organism: Microcebus murinus (gray mouse lemur)
Lineage: Eukaryota; Metazoa; Chordata; Mammalia; Primates; Cheirogaleidae
Source: Ensembl
GUCUAUAGCCAUACCACCCUGGACGUGCUCAAUCUCAUCUCAUCUCGGAAGCUAAGCAGGGUUGGGUAUGGUUGGUAAUUAAGUGGGAGACAAAUAAAAAUUGUAUUAAUAUAUAUU